RNAcentral lists this ribosomal RNA (501 nucleotides) under uncultured bacterium. RNAcentral describes it as "partial 16S ribosomal RNA". It matches the Rfam family "Bacterial small subunit ribosomal RNA", at positions 30 to 523 of the family's 1533-position model. The record is from RNAcentral.
AUUGAACGCUGGCGGCAGGCUUAACACAUGCAAGUCGAGCGGAGAUGAGGUGCUUGCACCUUAUCUUAGCGGCGGACGGGUGAGUAAUGCUUGGGAAUCUGCCUAUUAGUGGGGGACAACAUUCCGAAAGGAAUGCUAAUACCGCAUACGUCCUACGGGAGAAAGCAGGGGAUCCUCGGACCUUGCGCUAAUAGAUGAGCCUAAGUCGGAUUAGCUAGUUGGUGGGGUAAAGGCCUACCAAGGCGACGAUCUGUAGCGGGUCUGAGAGGAUGAUCCGCCACACUGGGACUGAGACACGGCCCAGACUCCUACGGGAGGCAGCAGUGGGGAAUUUUGGACAAUGGGGGGAACCCUGAUCCAGCCAUGCCGCGUGUGUGAAGAAGGCCUUAUGGUUGUAAAGCACUUUAAGCGAGGAGGAGGCUACUGAGACUAAUACUCUUGGAUAGUGGACGUUACUCGCAGAAUAAGCACCGGCUAACUCUGUGCCAGCAGCCGCGGUAA